AUUGAACGCUGGCGGCAGGCCUAACACAUGCAAGUCGAACGAGUGGCGGACGGGUGAGUAAUGUCUGGGAAACUGCCUGAUGGAGGGGGAUAACUACUGGAAACGGUAGCUAAUACCGCAUACCAUCAGAUGUGCCCAGAUGGGAUUGGUUGGUUGGUGGGGUAACGGCUCACCAAGGCGACGAUCCCCAGCUGGUCUGAGAGGAUGACCGGCCAACCUGGACCGGAGAAACGGUCAAGACUCCUACGGGAGGCAGCAGUGGGGAAGAUUGAACAAUGGGCGCAAGCCGGAUGGAGCCAUGCCGCGUGUAUGAAGAAGGCCUUCGGGUUGUAAAGUACUUUCAGCGGGGAGGCGUUACCCGCAGAGGAAGCACCGGCUAACUCCGUGCCAGCAGCCGCGGUAAUAC
This 406-nucleotide ribosomal RNA is filed under the name uncultured bacterium. RNAcentral describes it as "partial 16S ribosomal RNA". It matches the Rfam family "Bacterial small subunit ribosomal RNA", at positions 29 to 526 of the family's 1533-position model. The record is from RNAcentral.